AUGUAGUCAUGUAUCCGAAAAUUGUGGAAAGAAUUUGUGACUUGUACUUUUAUUGACAUUUACAAUAUUUAUUGAUUAGGCCAGUAGUAAUGAAGAUCUCUGCGUGUAAAUUUGUUGAGGUUUGCAGAAACUAAAAUUAAAACAUAUCCUCCAAGAUUUUGUUUGCUAUUUUAGUACUCAGUCAGCGCUCGAAGCACUAACAAAAGUUGGGAUGGAGACGAGAAAACGUAAAUUGAAAUUCCUUUACCCACUCAGGAAGAAAUUCGUCAUGUGGUACUUUACGUCAGCUUAAGUCUGCAGAAAUUUUCAGUGAAUUCCAAGCUCCAUAUUAAAUAAACGCAGUAUCGUAAAACGAUUUUGUAGGCUAGCUCCGCGGCCUUCCGCACAGCAAAAACUUCCGCCUGGAAAAUACUACUGUGGUCUGGCAGCUUGAUAGGCUGCCUUAUUCCUAGUUUUGGGCAGUAAAUAUGGGCAUUAGGAUGG
Anastrepha ludens (Mexican fruit fly) is the source of this 483-nucleotide long non-coding RNA. RefSeq lists it as uncharacterized. The transcript is spliced from 3 exons. Lineage: Eukaryota; Metazoa; Arthropoda; Insecta; Diptera; Tephritidae. The record is from RefSeq and is a predicted model, not a curated record.